ACAAACUUGGUCAUUUAGAGGAAGUAAAAGUCGUAACAAGGUUUCCGUAGGUAUGUAGUACAUCGUCCCCAUAUUUCCCCUCUCAAUGACUUAAUGCUAACAGAAUAUUCUAGGUGAACCUGCGGAAGGAUCAUUAACGAGCUAGGGUCUCCUAGGCCCGACCUCCCAACCCUAUGUUUACUAAACCUAUGUUGCUUCGGCGGGCCCGUCUUCACGACCGCCGGGGGGCGGCAACAUGCCCUCUGGCCCGCGCCUGCCGGUGGCCAACCUUUACAAAUUCUGCUUUAAACCGUGUAACGUGUCUGAGUCUCAUUCUUAAUUAAAGCAAAAACUUUCAACAACGGAUCUCUUGGUUCUGGCAUCGAUGAAGAACGCAGC
This 378-nucleotide unclassified non-coding RNA is filed under the name uncultured fungus. RNAcentral's name for it is "partial contains small subunit ribosomal RNA, internal transcribed spacer 1, and 5.8S ribosomal RNA". The stretch from base 1 to 136 matches the Rfam family "Eukaryotic small subunit ribosomal RNA", at positions 1759 to 1831 of the family's 1831-position model. The record is from RNAcentral. Lineage: Eukaryota; Fungi.